Molecule: unclassified non-coding RNA, 298 nt
Filed under: Echria sp.
Lineage: Eukaryota; Fungi; Ascomycota; Sordariomycetes; Sordariales; Schizotheciaceae
Description: partial contains 5.8S ribosomal RNA, internal transcribed spacer 2, and large subunit ribosomal RNA
Rfam family: 5.8S ribosomal RNA (bases 1-71)
Source: RNAcentral
GUGAGUCAUCGAAUCUUUGAACGCACAUUGCGCCUGUUAGUAUUCUAGCAGGCAUGCCUGUCCGAGCGUCAUUACGACCCCCCAGGCCCCUGUGGCCCGGUGUUGGGGCGCUGUAGCCGUAGCGCUGCAGCCCCCGAAACGCAGUGGCGGACCCGACGAGGACCCGAGCGCAGUAGCAACCCUCUCGCUCAGGGCGCCCCGGAGGGACUCCUGCCGUAAAACCCCCACUACCACACAAGGUUGACCUCGGAUCAGGUAGGAAUACCCGCUGAACUUAAGCAUAUCAAUAAGCGGAGGA